Pelmatolapia mariae (spotted tilapia) is the source of this 228-nucleotide long non-coding RNA. RefSeq lists it as uncharacterized. The record is from RefSeq and is a predicted model, not a curated record. Lineage: Eukaryota; Metazoa; Chordata; Actinopteri; Cichliformes; Cichlidae. The transcript is spliced from 3 exons.
AAUCAAAGCAGAACCAUAAAGGUUGCUGGACUGCAUGAUGGCCUUACCCCUGAGCAGUCAUCCUGUUAAAGGAGGAACCAGUUAGAAGCUGUUUUCAAAGUAGCUGAGCAGAUUUCAUCUCAACAGACAAAGCCAAUGGCAGAAGAUGUUUGGAGAAGAACUUCAGGCCGUGUACUGACAAGAUCAAAGCAGCUCGUGCUCUUUCUGCUUCCAUUUUGAUGGCAAGAA